GGGGCAAUAGCUCAGUUGGUCAGAGCAGCGGACUCAUAAUCCGUUGGUCCCAGGUUCAAGUCCUGGUUGCCCCA
This is a non-coding RNA of Chlamydiales bacterium 38-26, 74 nucleotides long. NCBI's taxonomy places the organism in Bacteria, Pseudomonadati, Chlamydiota, Chlamydiia, Chlamydiales. The record is from Rfam.